GUGCGGGGUAUGUGUGGUCUGUGAGUUAUUGCAUAGGUGCGAGGUUUUACCCUGUGCGCACCUAAAGGGUAGUGGCUGCUGGUUUCCCUUAUCAUAACCCUGGGUUGCUCUAAAAAAUUCCAAUCUUGCAAACACAUAACCAUGAUAUUAAAGAUACAGAGUGCACCCAAAGGAUAGUGGCUGCGGGUUUCACUUAUCAUAAAAAUUAUAUAUAUAUAUUCUCUAUAACCUGUCCCUGAGUUUGUCUCAAAAAUUCCAAUCUUUUAUACACGU
RNAcentral lists this unclassified non-coding RNA (273 nucleotides) under Hevea brasiliensis (rubber tree). Lineage: Eukaryota; Viridiplantae; Streptophyta; Magnoliopsida; Malpighiales; Euphorbiaceae. The record is from RNAcentral.